This 3700-nucleotide long non-coding RNA is filed under the name Limulus polyphemus (Atlantic horseshoe crab). Its description in RNAcentral is "uncharacterized LOC111083813". Lineage: Eukaryota; Metazoa; Arthropoda; Merostomata; Xiphosura; Limulidae. The record is from RNAcentral.
CUUUCCUUUAACAAUGAGAUAAGAGCAAGACUACUUCAAUUUGUCACAGGGACUUCUCGUGUUCCCAUGAAUGGCUUCAAGGAAUUGUAUGGCAGCAAUGGUCCUCAAUUGUUCACUAUCGAGAAGUGGGGAAAUACUGACAACUUGCCUCGUUCCCACACAUGCUUCAACCGAUUAGACCUUCCUCCCUAUGAGAGCUACCACGAUCUUCGUGAUAAGAUGAUGCAGGCUAUAGAAGGAUCUAACACUUUUGGAGGUGUGGAUUAACUUGAAAAGAAAUUUCUUUUCUGUGAGACUUUGAGUGUAUUGGAUUAGAUUCAUGGAUGAUGUUCUUUGUGGAAUAUUGUAUUCUUUAUAAAUAUAUAAAAGUGUAACUCAUUUUUUUCUUUGAUAUACUCUUAGUAAUGCUAGUUGAACAACAUAACACAGUUUUAAUUCUUCCUCCAGACUAAGUCUGAUUUGUGAUGCUAAUUGCCUUGAGAAACCACUCAGUUUUUAUGUUAAAUAUCUGUGAAAAUCAACAGUUUGUAUUUCAGGAUGAAUGUUUAGUAACUUUCUAGAGACACUAUAUAAUACAGUGUUAUUUAUUAUUUGGAAUUAUUGUGAAAAAGUAUUUUUACUGUUAGAACUUUUAAGUUAGAUGAUAACUAUACUAGUGUAAAUAUAUUUUGUAAGUUAACACUGUUACAUUUCUGGGAAAGGUGUUUAUGCUCGUAGUUUCUGGUAUCUAGGUAUGGAUGCUGUAUUACUUAAAAUAAAGUGAAUUCUUUUUUUAAUAUGAAAAGUAUUCUUAAUUUGUUACUAAUAGAUAUAUAACUGGCAGUGUUAGGUUGAUUUUGGUUACAAUAUACCAAGUAUAAGUUGUACCAACAUGAUCCUCUUGUUUAAGGUAUAAACACUACGGUACUAAUAACCUGAACCAUAUAUAUACAGCAUUUCAGAGGAUCGUGUCUUUCAUCGUCCAGCCCAACUGACAAGUUCAGGUAUUGAAUGAAAGGCUUUGUGGGCAAUGACUUAUGGCAGACAAAAGAUAGGUCUGAAAUGCUAUCUUUAUAUGCUUCCGAUUUUGUAUCCGAUAUAGUCAACUUAAGAGAAACGUCAAAAACAUCUGCCCCUUAUGUGUUUUUUAUCACCAGUUUUAGGCCUAUUGGUUUCCUAGUGCUUCACUGGUUUUUUGGAGUUUUAAAUCAUGGUAUCUUACAUGACAUGAAAAACACUAGUAACCUGAAUCAAAAUUAAUUUGCAGAGUUUAGUACAGUACUAGUGAGAAAAAACAAAACUAAUACCUUAUAAUUGAUGUCUACUGUAUAUCACUAUUUUGUCCUGUACUUCACCUUAUAGUUAGUGUCAAGGGUGUCCAUUCAGGGGUGACAAAAUAUAUAUAUUUUUGCCCCACUAAUAUUUUAUUAUACACCAAGUUUAAUUCUCUUUCAAUGUUUACAAAUUUUAGUAAUUAAUUGUGGAUCUGUGCUUUUUGUGUGUGUGUGUGUGUGAUGAAGAAAAAUACAUUGUUAUAAACAGUUAUUUCUUAUUUGCCACCCCAAUAUAUUUCUUGAAUUGAUACUUCUGGUUAGUGCAAUAGAAAUGUAGAAGACAGUUUUUAUAAAGAAAUGUAUUUAUAAAAAAAUUUUCACCAGUUAGUAUUUUAUUCCCGUGUUCCGCAUGUGGGCCAAAGCUGUAACUUUUAUAAUUGGAGUGAUCAUAAAAGAAUCAACUGAGUUUUUUUUUCUAGCCAUACAGUUUUUCAAUUUUAUCUUGAAGAAGAAGAUUGUUAAUGAUUUCACAAUCAGUUGUUAGUAAACUCUUGAAGUUAUUGUCAUGGAAACCACAUUAGCUUUGUGUAUAUACCUUGAGUCUUCGCAGUCUGUAGACUUGUUAUAGUUGUUGAUGAGUUAAAAAUAUAAUAUUUUGAUUGUUUUAAAUUGGUUUUGUACUUAACUGGUUUUGUUACUGCAGUGAAAAUGUUUAUAUAGACUAGAAAUUCAUGGACAGACAUUGAAAACUAUUGUAUCUGAAAGCCGUGGAAAGACUUUUUUUAUCUUCUCUGUGGUAUAAAAUGAGAUUAAUAAUGUAUAUAACUAGCUUUAUUAGAGAAGAGUUUUUGAAUUAUGUAUGCUUUGAAAUUGUAAUUUUUAUGGUUGAACUAACUUUUUAUAGGCUGCUACGAAACAGUUAAGUUGUAUAAGUGAUAAAAACAAAACAGUUUGAAACUAUUUUCAUAAGUAACUAUGAAAUUUAAGGAAAGUCUGCAUAUUGGUAUGCAAAUUUAUGUGAAUUCAAAGUAACCAUAGUUGUAUCUGUUAAAACCUUGAGAGAGCUAUGUAGAUUAGGUUAAUUAUCAUUAUCAAAAAAUGUUUCUUAGUGCUGAUAAUCACAUUUGUACAGUACCACUUCUGUUGCUCAGAGUGCUGUCUCUGUAGGCCUAUAGUGCCUUAUUUCUGUGCUUUUUUACCUGAUAUUAUGGUAGCUUUGGUUGUGUUUUAGACUAUUGUUUGUAAAGUUUCAGUAUGUAAUUCUCUAGUAGGUUCUACUCAUCCCGGGUCUGCUGAGAAAUAUGGAAUUGAAUUUUUUGAUUCUUUAGAGAAUGUUUUCAACGAGCUUAUAGAAAGGCUUUAAUUAUAAUUGAACAUUCCUGUGAACAAUUUUUUUUUUUUUGGCAUGCCGUUAAAAAGGAUUAGUUACAUUUCAUCAUAUAAUCGGUUACUUUCAAGCCCCAAGAUAAGGUUGAUGUUAAUCCUACAUUUUUAUCACAUGCUCUCUUAACAUAAACCAUGACUGGGAUGAUGUUAUUGUAGCCUUGACUCGUCAAACCAAGACUAUUGCUGAUUUUUACUGUUUGAUACAUGCAUCCGUAUUAAGUUUGAUGUGAUCGUUGUUUUAAAGUAGAACGACCCAUAAUGGAUAGCAUUUCUCUUGAUUGAACUUUAAAGUAGGAAUAAUGACACUAUAUUCCAUGAGUAAUGAUGUGAAUAGACGUUUUGUAGAUGUGCUUUUAGUUGAUAGGAUGUUUUGGGCAACCAUCAUUCUUCGUGUCCAGAGGAAGAUAGGUACAGUACUAUCAAUUAAAAGUAUUUCUGGAAAAAUGUAUUUUUGAUCUUAUUACCUGUUGCAUAAAAACAAACACGUUUCAAACUAUCUUGUGAAGUUUGUUUUUAAAGAACUAUUCUACUUAACAAAAGAAAAGCAAGGAUUAUUAUAUUACAUCCUUUGUAAACUUGAUAGUAAUACUACGUUGUUUUCAUUCUCGCUACUUUUCUAAACAGUAACACCUUUACGUUUUUACACCUAAGACUGACAUCCUCCAGUUUAGUCCUUCAUAAAUAAGGUAAUGAAAGCCUGAACCGAUGCUCUUUUAAAAAAUUCCAUCAGUAAAGAAGUGUUUAAGAGAACUUAGAUUUUUUUAAACAUAAAAUUGUUUAUACAGUUGGCUAAUCUUUAGCUUCAACGUGUUUGUUUGAACUUUUAACUAUUUGGUAUUACAGUUUCUUAAAUGGUCUUUUAGUUAAUGUUGGUUUAAAAGUUUUAUUUGUACACUCGGAACUGUUUGGAAGCUUUUCUUUCUUCUCAUAUUGUGGAUACAAGAUGUAAUUUUGUGGUUAAGUUAAAUAUAAAGUAAUAUGAUCUUUUCAUGAAAUACACCGAUUUUUAGAAUUUUGUAAAUAUUAACUUUACAGAAUAAAAAAAAUCUUUAUUAACUAAA